Molecule: long non-coding RNA, 1392 nt
Filed under: Anser brachyrhynchus (Pink-footed goose)
Lineage: Eukaryota; Metazoa; Chordata; Aves; Anseriformes; Anatidae
Description: lncRNA (ENSABRG00000010899.1)
Source: RNAcentral
UCUGAAAAUAUUUGAUGAAAAUCUUUCAUAUAUUCUGUGGCUGAACUGUAUGUACUGAACCACAAGAGAGCAGUGUUUUACCAGAUCUGUGCUGUAAUUCUUAAAUUUAAAAGUAAUUUUACUUUGUCAGUGAUAGGUCUAACAGCAAAAUUUAAUCCCUUUAUAUUUUCAUCUUUUAGCAAUUCUCACUAGAUCGUAGAGGCACAUGUUUCUAACUUACUAGUGUUACAAUGAACUAUAUUUAUUGUACUUGGAUUAAUAAAAAGUCAACAUCAGGCUAAUUUCUUCUUAUGCACAAAAUCUGCUACUUCAUUUUCCUCAAUGUUUAACAUCUAGAACAGACAGAAGAUUUUAUGUGGUGAAUUAAAGAGCUUUGUCUAGCAGAAAGCUUUUCCUGAAGAAAUAUCCUUUCAUAUCCCACGUUAAAAAGACUCGGAGAAAAUUUCUGUCUGUGAUGUAGUACAUAAAUAAUGACAAUUGCCUCUGAAUUGAAUGGAUUUUUAUGAAUAACUUUUAGAUUCUACUAGAGAAAAUAUGUUGCUACUUUCUGAUUCAAUAUCAAAGGGACCAUCUGGCAUAAAAGAAUUACAUUUUUCUUUCAGAUGAAAGAUUGUACUCUGCUCCUAUCAGUAUGCACACCCUUUGCUCUUCAUGUGUAAAUAAUGAUUUGAAUGAAUUCAGGUGCAAUCUUAAGACUAAGUAAGAGUAAGUUUGCAGUUUUGGUCAAAGUUCAACCUUCGCUAAUGCUUCUGCAUCACUGUUGAUCUCAUUAGAGUUGCUGCAGUGAAACUUAACACAGCAUUUGUCUCCGGUUUAAAUAAGUUUACCUAUCCUAUAUCACCUUGAACUAUGAAGAACUUGGGAUAUGGUCCAUUGGUCUGCUGCAAGAGACUAAGCUGAAAACAGAAAGAUUUCAUCUUCCUGAAAAUUAGAGCCACCUGCUGUAAUGCAGAGCAAGCCCCUGAGCAACAGCUGCUGGUAAAAAGGAGUACAGAGAAAUACAAAGUAGUGAGAACUGUAGAAAUAUCCUUUAAAAGUUACAAAACCACAGUAUUUGUCAUUGAGGUUGGUUGUCUGUGCUACUACUGUAAUCUUCCCUGCUUCAUGGCAGCAGUAACUGGCCCGGCUUCAGUACUGCUGGCUGGGACUCCGCAUUCAGGCAGUUCGUGAUCAGAAGUGACGAAUGGCAUCAGGCAUGCGCAGAAUGAAGAGGGGGAGAGGGAGAUGAAGGAGAUCCAGAAAGGAACCCAGCAGAACCGUGGGUUUGUUCAUGAGGACCCUUACAGCUUCUGCUUUGCCGUUUCUUCCCUUUCCAUGGUCUUGACAACAGGCUCUUAGCUCCCCGGGGUUUUGCUUGCUGCUGUGAUCAAGACAGAGAUAGCAGUGCUAUAA